Molecule: ribosomal RNA, 263 nt
Filed under: uncultured bacterium
Lineage: Bacteria
Description: partial 16S ribosomal RNA
Rfam family: Bacterial small subunit ribosomal RNA
Source: RNAcentral
CUUAGUGGCGGACGGGUGAGUAACGCGUGGGUAACCUGCCCCAUACCGGGGGAUACCACCUGGAAACAGGUGCUAAUACCGCAUAAGCGCACGGGAGCGCAUGCUCCUGUGUGAAAAACUCCGGUGGUAUGGGAUGGACCCGCGUCUGAUUAGCCAGUUGGCAGGGUAACGGCCUACCAAAGCGACGAUCAGUAGCCGGCCUGAGAGGGUGGACGGCCACAUUGGGACUGAGACACGGCCCAAACUCCUACGGAAGGCAGCAG